RNAcentral lists this ribosomal RNA (313 nucleotides) under uncultured Arcobacter sp. Its description in RNAcentral is "bacterial SSU rRNA". It matches the Rfam family "Bacterial small subunit ribosomal RNA", at positions 29 to 334 of the family's 1533-position model. Lineage: Bacteria; Pseudomonadati; Campylobacterota; Epsilonproteobacteria; Campylobacterales; Arcobacteraceae. The record is from RNAcentral.
AGUGAACGCUGGCGGCGUGCUUAACACAUGCAAGUCGAACGAGAACGGGCUUUAGUUUACUAAAGUUGUCAGCUAAGUGGCGCACGGGUGAGUAAUAUAUAGGUAACGUGCCUUCAAGAAGGGGAUAACGUUUGGAAACGAACGCUAAUACCCUAUAUGCCUUUAAGUCUUAAGACUGCAAGGGAAAUAUUUAUAGCUUGAAGAUCGGCCUGUACAGUAUCAGUUAGUUGGUGAGGUAAUGGCUCACCAAGACAAUGACGCUUAACUGGUUUGAGAGGAUGAUCAGUCACACUGGAACUGAGACACGGUCCAG